RNAcentral lists this long non-coding RNA (1083 nucleotides) under Homo sapiens (human). Its description in RNAcentral is "HSALNT0202666". Lineage: Eukaryota; Metazoa; Chordata; Mammalia; Primates; Hominidae. The record is from RNAcentral.
GGAAAACAGACUUGGAAAAUAUGAGUUGAUGGACCCUGACAGCCAGUUUCUGAGGUUUGUCCUUCCAGCCAGCCAGUCAUGGGAGAUCGUUACACUUUGACCUCAAAAUCUUUGCCUGCCUCCCAAGUUCUCCCACAGCACUAUACAUUCACAUCUGUUUAGAGCCCGCUGCUUGCUGGACAUACUUUAGUCUCAGCUUUGGAGGAAGAUGGCUAGCUCUUGGAAAUCUUUUAGAUCUCUUAGAAACACUUUUGUAUACUAUUCAUUUAUUUUGUGUGUGUCUAGUGCACAGGAAAAAGCUCAGUGUAAUAAAAUUAACAACUGCAGCUGUAGAAUGAGUAAUACCGCAACCCAAGCCUAAGACUGGCAAGAUAAAAAAUAAAUUUGGAGAAGCUGAAUGUUUUCUCUAAGGACACACAGCAAGUUAGUGGGAGGCUGCUUCCUGCAACUGAAGGUCAUUCCUCUUUGUUAGAAGACUAAGGGUCCCUGACCUGAUCUGUGGAGCACCAGGGUGGAGAGAGUGGAAUAAGCAGCAAAACGAAAAAUUGGAUGCUGUUUUCAAAAGUUUUGUUCUCAUUCUUGGAUUAUAGAUUAUCUAAAGGGAAAAUUUAACUCAACCAAAAAAUUCGUUCAGCUCCAUGAAGCUAAAGAUGCUAUAAACUGACUCUUUCCUAAAGAGCACCAAACCUGAAAUUUUUCCUGCUAGAGAGGAACUAAUCUUCAAGGACACCUGUCUAUUGCUAGACAUUAAGAAGGAAGGUGAACUCCGUUCUGUCUUCAUAAAACACAUUUUUGUCUUUCCCCCUCACUCCUCCACUGAACCCACUAUGUUUACAAGUACAAGCUAUGACUGUGGAGGUGGAAAAUCUGAUACUGUCAGCACAAGUGGAACAAAAUGAAAAGAGAAAAAAAUCUACACACCCAUCUGGACUUCCAUAUGCUCUGUAGCCCAGAGGCUAAUAUAAUUCCUUGAAUGUUGGUUAUAAAGCAAUGUGAUAUGGAUGACUGCUAUGCACUGAGCUUAUUUAGACAAGUGUUCUUUCUACUCAAUAAACCUUUGAAAGGAUUAAAGUACAAUCACUC